RNAcentral lists this ribosomal RNA (492 nucleotides) under uncultured bacterium. RNAcentral describes it as "partial 16S ribosomal RNA". It matches the Rfam family "Bacterial small subunit ribosomal RNA", at positions 29 to 507 of the family's 1533-position model. The record is from RNAcentral.
AGUGAACGCUGGCGGUAGGCCUAACACAUGCAAGUCGAACGGCAGCACAGUAAGAGCUUGCUCUUACGGGUGGCGAGUGGCGGACGGGUGAGGAAUACAUCGGAAUCUACUUUUUCGUGGGGGAUAACGUAGGGAAACUUACGCUAAUACCGCAUACGACCUACGGGUGAAAGCAGGGGAUCUUCGGACCUUGCGCGAUUGAAUGAGCCGAUGUCGGAUUAGCUAGUUGGCGGGGUAAAGGCCCACCAAGGCGACGAUCCGUAGCUGGUCUGAGAGGAUGAUCAGCCACACUGUAACUGAGACACGGUCCAGACUCCUACGGGAGGCAGCAGUGGGGAAUAUUGGACGAUGGAGGCAAGCCUGAUCCAGCCAUACCGCGUGAGUGAAGAAGGCCUUCGGGUUGUAAAGCCCUUUUGUUGGGAAAGAAAAGCAGCAGGUUAAUACCCCGCUGUUCUGACGGUACCCAAAGAAUAAGCACCGGCUAACUUCGUG